GGCAACCCUGACGGAGCAAUACCGCGUGGGGGAGGAAGGCUCUUGGGUCGUAAACCCCUUUUCUCAGGGAAGAACACAAUGACGGUACCUGAGGAAUCAGCAUCGGCUAACUCCGUGCCGGCAGCCGCGGUAAUACGGAGGAUGCAAGCGUUAUCCGGAAUCAUUGGGCGUAAAGCGUCCGUAGGUGGUAUUUCAAGUCUGCUGUUAAAGCCCGGGGCUCAACCCUGGAGGAGCAGUGGAAACUGGAGUACUGGAGUGCGGUAGGGGUAGAGGGAAUUCCCGGUGUAGCGGUGAAAUGCGUAGAUAUCGGGAAGAACACCAGUGGCGAAAGCGCUCUACUGGACCGUAACUGACACUGAUGGACGAAAGC
This 370-nucleotide ribosomal RNA is filed under the name uncultured cyanobacterium. RNAcentral describes it as "bacterial SSU rRNA". It matches the Rfam family "Bacterial small subunit ribosomal RNA", at positions 376 to 760 of the family's 1533-position model. The record is from RNAcentral. Lineage: Bacteria; Bacillati; Cyanobacteriota.